This 479-nucleotide ribosomal RNA is filed under the name uncultured bacterium. Its description in RNAcentral is "partial 16S ribosomal RNA". It matches the Rfam family "Bacterial small subunit ribosomal RNA", at positions 28 to 507 of the family's 1533-position model. The record is from RNAcentral.
GAUGAACGCUAGCGGGAGGCUUAACACAUGCAAGCCGAGCGGUAGAGUUUCUUCGGAAACUUGAGAGCGGCGCACGGGUGCGUAACACGUGUGCAACCUACCUUUAUCUGGGGGAUAGCCUUUCGAAAGGAAGAUUAAUACCCCAUAAUAUAAUGAUUGGCAUCAAUUAUUAUUGAAAACUCCGGUGGAUAGAGAUGGGCACGCGCAAGAUUAGUUAGUUGGUGAGGUAACGGCUCACUAAGUAAAUGAUCUUUAGGGGUCCUGAGAGGGAGAUCCCCCACACUGGUACUGAGACACGGGCCAGACUCCUACGGGAGGCAGCAGUGAGGAAUAUUGGACAAUGGGUGAGAGCCUGAUCCAGCCAUCCCGCGUGAAGGAUGACGGUCCUAUGGAUUGUAAACUUCUUUUGUACAGGGAUAAACCUACCCUCGUGAGGGUAGCUGAAGGUACUGUACGAAUAAGCACCGGCUAACUCCGUG